AACGAACGCUGGCGGCAUGCCUAACACAUGCAAGUCGAACGAGAUCUUCGGGUCUAGUGGCGCACGGGUGCGUAACGCGUGGGAAUCGGCCCUUGGUGUGGGAAUAACGGUUGGAACCGACUGUUAAUACCGGAGGAGGACAAAGGUCAAAAGAUUUAUCGCCAGAGGAUGAGCACGGGUAGGAUUAGCUAGUUGGUGUGGUAAAGGCGCACCAAGGCGACGAUCCUUAGCUGGUCUGAGAGGAUGAUCCGCCACACUGGGACUGAGACACGACCCAGACUCCUACGGGAGGCAGCAGUGGGGAAUAUUGGACAAUGGGCGAGAGCCUGAUCCAGCAAUGCCGCGUGAGUGAUGAAGGCCUUAGGGUUGUAAAGCUCUCUUACCCGGGAUGAUAAUGACAGUACCGGGAGAAUAAGCUCCGGCUAACUCCGUGCCAGCCGCCGCCGUAA
RNAcentral lists this ribosomal RNA (449 nucleotides) under uncultured bacterium. Its description in RNAcentral is "partial 16S ribosomal RNA". It matches the Rfam family "Bacterial small subunit ribosomal RNA", at positions 29 to 523 of the family's 1533-position model. The record is from RNAcentral.